GUGCCAGCAGCCGCGGUAAAACGUAGGAGGCGAGCGUUAUCCGGAUUUACUGGGCGUAAAGCGCACGCAGGCGGCUCUGUGAGUCGGACGUGAAAGCUCUCGGCUUAACCGGGAGAGGUCGUUCGAUACUGCAGGGCUUGAGGUAGGGAGAGGAAUGCGGAAUUCCCGGUGUAGUGGUGGAAUGCGUAGAUAUCGGGAGGAACACCUGUGGCGAAAGCGGCAUUCUGGCCCUCACCUGACGCUGAGGUGCGAAAGCGUGGGUAGCAAACAGGAUUAGAAACCCCUGUAGUCC
RNAcentral lists this ribosomal RNA (292 nucleotides) under uncultured bacterium. Its description in RNAcentral is "partial 16S ribosomal RNA". It matches the Rfam family "Bacterial small subunit ribosomal RNA", at positions 505 to 796 of the family's 1533-position model. The record is from RNAcentral.